Molecule: non-coding RNA, 592 nt
Organism: Camelina sativa (false flax)
Lineage: Eukaryota; Viridiplantae; Streptophyta; Magnoliopsida; Brassicales; Brassicaceae
Source: RefSeq, a predicted model, not a curated record
UUGAAGAAAAUUAAAUCGGAGCAUGGAAAGGUUCAAGUGGAGAACACCACUGCUGAUAUGAUCGUGGAGGCACCGGGGGAGGGGGACUAAUAUAUAUGAUAAAGUUCGUGCCUUUAUAUAUGUGUGUGUUUUGGUUUCAUAUCCACAGGCUGGCAUCAUUGUUCGUGCUUGUGCUGGUUUGAAUUCUAGGUUGUUUGCCUUGAAGGUCUUCCCAAAGGUCCACUCUGUUAUGUUUAUCUUGAACUUGAAGGAAUGCCUUUGAUCUGUCGUCGUCGGUUCCUGUUACCUCUUUGAUGAUUGUACUUGAUGAGCUGACUAGUAGGAUUGAUGGGUGGAGGAUUGGCUGGAAUCCAAGGCUCUUGAAGGAGCCGAGUUGUUUGUUCAAUUGACUGGUGGAAGACUGCUUGCAGCAGAUCAAACUCAAAGGCCAAGGUUUUAAACCGCUGAUUCCAAAAGGAGUUGAUGAGUAUGAUGAAUCAGAAUUAGAAGGUUUUCAACAGCUGAUUCCAAAAUGAAAUUACACAAGAUUUCUCCUCUUAUCUUGUGUAAUUUGGGGAUAAUUUUUGAAGCUUGUAUUCUUUUGUGCUUCACA